This 493-nucleotide ribosomal RNA is filed under the name uncultured bacterium. RNAcentral's name for it is "partial 16S ribosomal RNA". It matches the Rfam family "Bacterial small subunit ribosomal RNA", at positions 28 to 507 of the family's 1533-position model. The record is from RNAcentral.
GACGAACGCUGGCGGCGUGCUUAACACAUGCAAGUCGAACGGUGAAGGGACCGGUUUUUGCUGGUUCUGGAUGAGUGGCGAACGGGUGAGUAACACGUGAGUAACCUGCCCCCUUCUUCUGGAUAACCGCAUGAAAGUGUGGCUAAUACGGGAUAUUCUGCGCCUGCUGCAUGGUGGGUGUGGGAAAGAUAUUGUUUCGGUGGGGGAUGGGCUCGCGGCCUAUCAGCUUGUUGGUGGGGUGAUGGCCUACCAAGGCGGUGACGGGUAGCCGGCCUGAGAGGGUGGACGGUCACACUGGGACUGAGACACGGCCAAGACUCAUACGGGAGGCAGCAGUGGGGAAUAUUGCACAAUGGGCGGAAGCCUGAUGCAGCGACGCCGCGUGAGGGAUGGAGGCCUUCGGGUUGUAAACCUCUUUCGCCAGUGAAGCAGGCCUGUCCCUUUUGUGGGUGGGUUGACGGUAGCUGGAUAAGAAGCGCCGGCUAACUACGUG